Molecule: small nuclear RNA, 103 nt
Organism: Bos indicus x Bos taurus (hybrid cattle)
Lineage: Eukaryota; Metazoa; Chordata; Mammalia; Artiodactyla; Bovidae
Source: Ensembl
GUGCUUUAGCAGCACACAUACUAAAACUGAAAUUAUACAGAGAAGAUUAGCAUGGCCCCUGCACAAGGAUGACACGCAAAUUCGUGAAGUGUUCCACAAAAAA